RNAcentral lists this ribosomal RNA (462 nucleotides) under uncultured bacterium. RNAcentral's name for it is "partial 16S ribosomal RNA". It matches the Rfam family "Bacterial small subunit ribosomal RNA", at positions 338 to 795 of the family's 1533-position model. The record is from RNAcentral.
CCUACGGGUGGCAGCAGUGAGGAAUAUUGGACAAUGGACGCAAGUCUGAACCAGCCAAGUGGCGUGCAGGAUGACGGCCCUCCGGGUGUUAAACUGCUUUAAGUUGGGAAUAAAAGGUGGCUCGUGAGCCCCGUAUUGUAUGUACCAUCAGAAGAAGGACCGGCUAAUUCCGUGCCAGCAGCAGCGGUAAUACGGAAGGUCCUGGCGUUAUCCGGAUUUAUUGGGUUUAAAGGGACCGUAGGCGGGCUUUUAAGUCAGCUGUGAAAGCCCGCGGCUCAACCGUGGAAUUGCAGUUGAAACUGGAGGCCUUGAGUGCACACAGGGAGGCAGGAAUUCAUGGUGUAGCGGUGAAAUGCUUAGAUAUCAUGAAGAACUCCGAUCGCGAAGGCAAGUGUCUGGGGGGCAACUGACGCUGAGGCUCGAAAGUGCGGGUAUCAAACAGGAUUAGAUACCCCUGUAGUC